AACGAACGCUGGCGGCGCGCCUAAUACAUGCAAGUCGAGCGAGAAGACGUAGCAAUACGUUUGUAAAGCGGCGAACGGGUGAGGAAUACAUGGGUAACCUACCCUCGAGUGGGGAAUAACUAGCCGAAAGGUUAGCUAAUACCGCGUACGCUCCUUGGACUUCGGUUCAGGGAGGAAAGACGAUACCGUGGGUAUCGCGCUCUUGGAUGGGCUCAUGUCCUAUCAGCUUGUUGGUGAGGUAACGGCUCACCAAGGCUUCGACGGGUAGCUGGUCUGAGAGGACAAUCAGCCACACUGGCACUGCGACACGGGCCAGACUCCUACGGGAGGCAGCAGUAAGGAAUAUUGCGCAAUGGGCGAAAGCCUGACGCAGCGACGCCGCGUGGGGGAGUGAA
Molecule: ribosomal RNA, 395 nt
Filed under: uncultured bacterium
Lineage: Bacteria
Description: bacterial SSU rRNA
Rfam family: Bacterial small subunit ribosomal RNA
Source: RNAcentral